Molecule: long non-coding RNA, 6311 nt
Organism: Anolis carolinensis (green anole)
Lineage: Eukaryota; Metazoa; Chordata; Lepidosauria; Squamata; Anolidae
Gene: zc3h10
Product: zinc finger CCCH-type containing 10
Exons: 4
Source: RefSeq, a predicted model, not a curated record
UAGCCGCCGAGGGCGUUCCGAGGCCUUUCCGCCGUUGUCGCUGGUUCCGCCAUCUUGAAGGCGAGGAAGCUGGAGGGAGCUGGCGCGGUUUCGUGAAUCUGUCGCCAUCCGGCCGCGGCCUUAUUGAAUCUUCUUGAGGGCUGAGCCCGGGGGAACGUCCCCGACAUGAGAGCUAAGUGGCGAAAGAAGCGGAUGCGCAGGCUGAAGCGCAAAAGAAGAAAGAUGAGGCAGAGGUCCAAGUAGAUGUUGCUUACAGUGCUACUGAAGCUGCAAAAUGGAGUAUGGAAGGAUGGAGCUUGGGAAGCUGAAUUCCAUACAAUGCCUUCUAUUUGCUGCUGCCAGAAGACCCCUUGCAUACCUUCAGGAGAUUCCAUCUUAAAGUCUAGGAGCCAUGCUUCUUCAAGGGUGGUGCUUUGAGCUGUACUAUUCUGGACUCAUCCUCUUUGUGGCUUGAUGUAGCGACUGUAUAAAAUAAAGCCCUUUUCUUGGGAAUUCAGCACAGUUUUUUUCUGAACAAUUGUUGAAUAAUCAGUAAAAGGUUUGAAAUUAUAGAGGUUUUAGUUAUUUCAGUUCUAUUUGGAAAUUUCAUUUGCAGCUAUUAGUUAAUGGUACUUUAAAACUUGCUUAUACAGAGCUAUUAUGCUGCAAUCUAGUCAUGGGUUAGGUAAAGAUAGGAUCCAACCAUCUUCAGGUUGAAAGAUGAGAAUUGCUACUUUGUGGAAGCCCUUUGGCAUGGAAGCAUUCUGCAUUCAACCUGUUAGUGCUGUUUUCUGAACGAUUUUUGCUGGGAAAUAAGUGCUUAGACCAGAAUCAACUUGGAAGACCUCAUGCUAUCAGAUCUUCAGCAAUUCAUAAUCUUUCUCUGGGGUGUAUAUCUUUGCUAGAUAGCAACAGUAUAUUCUUACUCAAAUAUGAAUACUGCUUCUCUAUAUAUAAAGGAUCUCCUUGGGCUAAAAAAGGUUGACAGCCUGUCUAUUGCUAGAAUUAAAAAAGAAUGCCAUAAGGGACCAUUAACAGGUAAAAAUGUAUAUGUGACUUUCAUCCUCUAUUAGGUAUAUUUAGUGAGUUUCUUAUACAUGUCAUGGCAGGAUUGUAAGUCAAAAUUGAGCAUUUUCAUUGCAUUGUGCCAUCAAUUUGACUGACGUAUGUUGAUCCUCUCUGGUUUCCUAAGAUUUGCCAUUGCCUUCACCUAAGGCUGAAAGAGUAAUUUGUCUAAGGUCACACAAUGCAUUUCCAUGUUUGAAUGCAUUUUAACUUUGGUCCAGCACAAAACCACUACACUAGUUCUCAAGCAAGUUGUGAACCAUUCUUUUUGGAAAUACCAGGUCCUAUAAAUUCUGCUAUUUUGGGGGCAUGAGGGAAGAUCUGAAGAGUGACUGGUAGUCUUUCCCUGCUUCCAGUUUUUCUGCAUGAGGUAAGAGAAGUUGAAAAUAGUGAAAAUUUUAUAUGCCCCCUUUUAAAAGGACAGUAUUGAGUUUGAGAAAAUUCACAACUUGUUUUGUACAAUAAGCUUGCUUUUCCAGAGAACUAUAGAAACAAUAGGUUUAACAAAUGGAUCAAUAAUUGGAAUUAAUAAAUUAAACGUACAGGUUGAAUGUCUUAUUAAAAUGUUCUGUACAGGUGGCAGGCUGAUACUUUUGCUUUGUGGUGGGUCAGUGCAUAUAUAUAUAUAUAUAGUUCCAUGCACAAAAAAAGUAAAAAUACUGCAUAAAAGUUAAAAUUAGCUUAUGAGUACAAGGUGUCUGAAACAUUUCAGAUUUUAGACUUUGAUCCCAUUUAUGUGUGUGUAUUCAUAAAAUCCGAAGUACUUCUAGUUUCAAAUACAGUAGAGUCUCACUUAUCCAACACUCGCUUAUCCAACGUUCUGGAUUAUCCAACGCAUUUUUGUAGUCAAUGUUUUCAAUAUAUCGUGAUAUUUUGGUGCUAAAUUCAUAAAUACAGUAAUUACUACAUAGCAUUACUGCAUAUUGAACUACCUUUUCUGCCAAAUUUGUUGUCUAACAUGAUGUUUUGGUGCUUCAUUUGUAAAAUCAUAACCUAAUUUGAUGUUUAAUAGGCUUUUCCUUAAUCCCUCCUUAUUAUCCAACAUAUUCGCUUAUCCAACAUUCUGCCGGCCCGUUUAUGUUGGUUAAGUGAGACUCUACUGUACUUCGGAUAAGUCAUACACUCAGCCUACAAUAGCAUUUUAAAGUAUCUUUCAGAGUGUUCAAAGGCUUUCAUGGCCAGAAUCACUGGGUUGCUGUGAGUUUUCUGGGCUGUAUGGCCAUGUUACAGAAGCACUCCUGUUGUUUCACUCACAUCUAUGGCAGGCAUCCUCAGAGGUAGGAGCCAUGGGUUUUUUUUUCUUCAUAUCAGGAGCAACUUGAGUCGCUUCUGGAGUGAGAAUUGGCUGUCUGCAAGGACGAUGCCCAGGGGACGCUCAGAUGUUUUACCAUCCUUGUGGGAGGCUUCUCAUGUCCACGCAUGGAGCUGGAGCUGAUAGAGGGAGCUCAUCCAGGCAGCCAUCAGAUCAGCAACCCAACCUUCAAGUCACGCUUUAAUCCAGUACGCCAUCGAGGGCUCAUGGUGGCGCAGUGGGUUAAACCCUUUUGUCAGUUGAACUGCUAGCCUGAAGGUUGCCAAUCUGAAUCUCUGAAUCUCCUGUCAGCUCAAGUUUGAGGGGACGUGAGAGAAGCCUCCCAGAAAGAUGGUAACACAUCCAGGCAUCCUGAGCAACAUCUGCAGAUGGCCAAUUCUCUCACACCAGAAGCGACUUGCAGUAUGUUCUCAGUUGCUUCUGACAAUAAAAUCCUCAAGAGGUGUGAGGUCUGUUGGAAACUAGGCAAGUGGGGUUUAUCUGAAAAGUCCAGGUUGAGAGAAAGAAUUCGCCUGGGCAUGUGUGAAUGUUUCAAUUGGCCACCUUGAUUAGCAUUGGAUGGCCUUUCAGCUUCAAGAUUUGGCUGCUUCCUACCCGGGGGAUCCAUUGUUGGGAUGUGUUAGCUGGCUCUGAUUGUUGCCUGUCUGGAAUUCCCAUGUUUUCUGAGUGUUGUUCCAUAAGUGAUCACAGACGGAGUUCAAAGCAAAAAAAAAAUUUAGUCAGUAGCGCCAGGGGCUAAGCAGCUGUAGGGACGUUAGUUACACUAUAGCGCGGCUGCUUGGUUAUGGGCCUUUAUUCCGCCAAAGGUUUCCUCCGAGUCUCGUGCGGCUAAGAACUCGCGGAGGAAGGGAAAGCCCUCGGCGGAAGAAACGAUAGAGCACUUCCGGUAGGGGUGGCUAGACGGGUGCUCCCGCGCCGGAAGGGGCUGCGCUUGGCUUGGAGCGGAGGAGGUCGGAGUGACGGGAGUGGGUGAAAGCGGGAGGAGCGGCCGGGUUGGUCAGCAGGCCUUGGCUUCGCCCCGCUGGGUCCUGGGAGCCUGGCCGUGUGGCCCGUCUCCUUUCCUGAGGCGGGAGGUCAGGGCCGGGCUCCCUCUGCCGCCUCCUCCUGCUGGUGCUUUUGUCUGGCGGGCUUUUGCGCUCUCCCUGCCUCGCUCCCGAGCAUUGGCUCGGGGAAGCCCUCCUCCUCCUCUCUUUUUCAAGGGAAGGGAAGGGUGGGAUGGGGCUCCAGGGAACCAGGAAGCCGCGGAGUUGGCGGGAAGAAGGGCCCCGCAUCGCCAUGGACUGAGGCCAAAGAGUAGUUUGACUUCAUUUCUCAGCCCAGACGGGGCUAGAAAAAGAUGCCUGACCGCGACAACAGCUAUAACGGUAGUGGGAAUGAUGAAGCGAGUGCCAAUUCCUAUGUCAUCUGCCGAGAUUUCUUGCGUAAUGUCUGCAAGCGAGGCAAGCGCUGUCGUUUCCGCCACCCUGAUAUCAAUGAGGUGACAAACCUGGGAGUCAGCAAGAACGAGUUCAUCUUCUGCCACGACUUCCAGAACAAGGAGUGUGUCCGCAUCAACUGCCGCUUCAUCCACGGCACCAAGGAGGAUGAGGACUGCUACAAAAAGACCGGGGAGCUUCCCCCGCGACUCCGCCAGAAAGUGGCAGCUGGGCUUGGCCUUUCCCCAGCUGAUCUCCCUAACAGCAAGGAGGAGGUACCGAUUUGUAGGGACUUCCUCAAGGGGGAUUGCCAGCGUGGAGCCAAAUGUAAAUUUCAGCAUUUGCAGCGGGAUUAUGAGUAUGAUGCCCGGGGCCUGGCUACCCGGGAGCAGGGCAUCACCACUCCUGUGCGUCGGUAUGACCCAUAUGAUCCGAUGUAUGACUCUGACCGGUGCUAUGAUGACCACGAUCCUGUGCUCAAGCGGCGGCGGGUAGAUGGGCUCCAUUUUGAGACUUAUGAGUACAACUUCACCAGUCCACGUACAGUAGAAUACCGGCUUUUGGAGGAAGAAAAUAUCAUGCUCCGGAAACGUAUUGAGGACCUCAAGAAGCAGGUGAACAAUCUCCUGGCCACAAAUGAGGUUCUCCUGGAACAGAACGCCCAGUUCCGCAAUCAGGCCAAGGUGAUGACUCUCAGCUCCACUGCAACAGCCACUGAGCAGACUCUGGCACCCACGGUGGGCACUGUCACCAACUACAAUCAUAGCAUUGCCCAGACUCACACUACCUUGAGUAGCCAGGCUCUGCAGCCACGGCCUGUCUCCCAGCAGGAUUUGGUGGCUCCAGCUGGAGCACAGGCAGCCCCUCCCAGCAACGCAGCACCUCCUAUGAACCCUGAAAUCACCCCACUGUCAGCAGCUCUGGCUCAGACAAUUGCUCAGGGGAUGGCUCCACCUGUCUCCAUGGCACCAGUAGCUGUUUCAGUGGCUCCAGUGGCUGUAUCUAUGGCUCAACCCUUGGGGGGCAUCACCAUGAGCCAUGCCACCACGCCCAUGGUGACAUACCCCAUAGCGUCUCAGAGUAUGAGGAUAACAGCCAUGCCUCACUAGCUUACAUCCAGGCGAGGUGCCCUCAUUCAGUCUGUGCUACCCCUAAGUCAAGGGGAAAUGCUUACAAGGAUCUAGUUCUGUCCUGUUGAAGGAUAUAGAAAAGAUAAUGAAAUUGGUUUCAAAUGUGAAUCUGAAAGUCACCAGAAUUCUCAUCUCUACACACUGGGGAAGGACAGUCGCUUGGGCCGACAAUUUUCCUCAAGCAAGCAUAUGUGCCCCCCCCCCCCAAAAAAAAAAAAAAAAACAGCAAGACUCAGGGAUGACAGAACUAGCAAAACAAUUUGGAGAGUGCAGUAAUCUCAUAGCCUCUGUGUGUGUUUUGUAUCUCUUUUGCAGCUUGUCCAUCCUCAUGGAAUUUACCCACCAAAUCCUUUGAGUGUAUUAAUUCAGCAAAUUGCCCUGCUUAAUGGAAACAUUGCUUGCACACACAUGCUUAUUACUCUGGUGGACUAGAGAAAAUACAUUUAUACUCCCUAGUACUUGCCACUGAGAAGGAGAGAGGCUUUUGUUGACUUGGUCAGAGAAAAGGCUGAGGCUCAAAGAGUGCUAGCUCUAAAAACAGCAAAGACAGAGGUAGACUUUUCUUGGAGUAGUAUUGCAGGCUCUCAUAUUUAAUCUAAUUGGUCUCUUUUGCUAUAAUAUACAGAUGAAUGGAAAAGUCCCAGAAAAGACCAGAUGUAAUAUGGUUUCCUUCUGACUUGACCGGGAGUGUAAGUUAAAAUUGUGUGUUUAGAAAGAGCAGAGUCAACGUGCUUAGUGUUACUAAAGCUUUUUGAGUAGAGGUGAUUGCAGAGAUAUACAAAAAUUGCAUUUUUGUAUUCAUUUCUGAGUUCUUAAAGAGCCUAGGAUGUAGUGACAGGAUCUCUUGGAACCACCCAAAAUAUGGGCAUCUUAAUUUCUUAUUCAUACUUGCAGGGUCACCUGGUGCCUUGUAAUAUCAGAAUCCAUUAAUGAGUUGUCUCCCAUUCUCUUCUUUCCACCGCAGUCUUUACUGCCUUCUGCCUGUAUUUCAUGUCUGAAUUUCUCUCACUUCCAAAUAAUUCGUUACUUGUAGGGGCUUUUCUGCUCUGCACUGCUUCAUGUUUUGUUAAACAAAACAACACACUUCAAAAAAAUACAAGAAACCUCCCCCCAUAUGUUUUUAUUUGGUCUUUUGGCUUCAUCUUGAUACCUUUUUAUUAGUUGAUGUGAAUGUGAAUUUCAGCUCCUCCUUGGGUUAAAAGUAGCCUUUGCAUCUUUGUGUUACAUUUGGAUUGGUUUUUAUUAGAAGGUUUUUUUAAAAAAAUGAGGGAAAUGUUUCAUGACCCAGCUGUUUCUACUGUUAACAGUGCAAAUGUUUUCAGCUAUUAAAGCAAAUGUACAGUCAUCACAAAUAUUCAGUGGUUAUAUGAUUUUAUAUAUAGAUGUUAAAAUGCUUAUUUUCUUACUCUU